UCUCCUGAUGCCUUGUUAUGAACAGGGAG
RNAcentral lists this non-coding RNA (29 nucleotides) under Homo sapiens (human). Lineage: Eukaryota; Metazoa; Chordata; Mammalia; Primates; Hominidae. The record is from RNAcentral.